GUCUAUGGCCAUAUCACUCGGAAUGUGCCCGAUCUCAUUAGAUCUCUGAAGGUAAGCAAAGAUGGGCCUGGUUAAUACUUGGAUGAGAAACUGGGAAUACUGGGUGCAGUAGGGG
This 115-nucleotide ribosomal RNA is filed under the name Meriones unguiculatus (Mongolian gerbil). Lineage: Eukaryota; Metazoa; Chordata; Mammalia; Rodentia; Muridae. The record is from RNAcentral.